Molecule: unclassified non-coding RNA, 348 nt
Filed under: soil metagenome
Description: partial contains 5.8S ribosomal RNA, internal transcribed spacer 2, and large subunit ribosomal RNA
Rfam family: 5.8S ribosomal RNA (bases 1-120)
Source: RNAcentral
GAUGAAGAACGUAGCAAAAUGCGAUAAGUAAUGUGAAUUGCAGAAUUCAGUGAAUCAUCGAAUCUUUGAACGCACAUUGCGCCCGCUGGUAUUCCGGCGGGCAUGCCUGUUCGAGCGUCAUUUCAACCCUCAAGCCCCCGGGUUUGGUGUUGGGGAUCGGCUCUGCCCUUCUGGGCGGUGCCGCCCCCGAAAUACAUUGGCGGUCUCGCUGCAGCCUCCAUUUCGUAGUAGCUAACACCUCGCAACUGGAACGCGGCGCGGCCAUGCCGUAAAACCCCAACUUCUGAAUGUUGACCUCGGAUCAGGUAGGAAUACCCGCUGAACUUAAGCAUAUCAAUAAGCGGAGGA